RNAcentral lists this ribosomal RNA (1167 nucleotides) under Oenococcus oeni. RNAcentral describes it as "bacterial SSU rRNA". It matches the Rfam family "Bacterial small subunit ribosomal RNA", at positions 279 to 1437 of the family's 1533-position model. The record is from RNAcentral. Lineage: Bacteria; Bacillati; Bacillota; Bacilli; Lactobacillales; Lactobacillaceae.
AUGCGUAGCCGAGUUGAGAGACUGGCCGGCCACAUUGGGACUGAGACACUGCCCAAACUCCUACGGGAGGCUGCAGUAGGGAAUUUUCCGCAAUGCACGAAAGUGUGACGGAGCGACGCCGCGUGUGUGAUGAAGGCUUUCGGGUCGUAAAGCACUGUUGUAAGGGAAGAAUAACUGAAUUCAGAGAAAGUUUUCAGCUUGACGGUACCUUACCAGAAAGGGAUGGCUAAAUACGUGCCAGCAGCCGCGGUAAUACGUAUGUCCCGAGCGUUAUCCGGAUUUAUUGGGCGUAAAGCGAGCGCAGACGGUUUAUUAAGUCUGAUGUGAAAUCCCGAGGCCCAACCUCGGAACUGCAUUGGAAACUGAUUUACUUGAGUGCGAUAGAGGCAAGUGGAACUCCAUGUGUAGCGGUGAAAUGCGUAGAUAUGUGGAAGAACACCAGUGGCGAAAGCGGCUUGCUAGAUCGUAACUGACGUUGAGGCUCGAAAGUAUGGGUAGCAAACGGGAUUAGAUACCCCGGUAGUCCAUACCGUAAACGAUGGGUGCUAGUUGUUAAGAGGUUUCCGCCUCCUAGUGACGUAGCAAACGCAUUAAGCACCCCGCCUGAGGAGUACGGCCGCAAGGCUAAAACUUAAAGGAAUUGACGGGGACCCGCACAAGCGGUGGAGCAUGUGGUUUAAUUCGAAGAUACGCGAAAAACCUUACCAGGUCUUGACAUACCAAUGAUCGCUUUUGUAAUGAAAGCUUUUCUUCGGAACAUUGGAUACAGGUGGUGCAUGGUCGUCGUCAGCUCGUGUCGUGAGAUGUUGGGUUAAGUCCCGCAACGAGCGCAACCCUUGUUAUUAGUUGCCAGCAUUUAGUUGGGCACUCUAAUGAGACUGCCGGUGAUAAACCGGAGGAAGGUGGGGACGACGUCAGAUCAUCAUGCCCCUUAUGACCUGGGCAACACACGUGCUACAAUGGGAAGUACAACGAGUCGCAAACCGGCGACGGUAAGCUAAUCUCUUAAAACUUCUCUCAGUUCGGACUGGAGUCUGCAACUCGACUCCACGAAGGCGGAAUCGCUAGUAAUCGCGAAUCAGCAUGUCGCGGUGAAUACGUUCCCGGGUCUUGUACACACCGCCCGUCAAAUCAUGGGAGUCGGAAGUACCCAAAGUCGCUUGGCUA